UACGUAGGUGGCAAGCGUUGUCCGGAUUUACUGGGCGUAAAGGGCGUGCAGGCGGUCUGUUAAGUCUAGGGUGAAAGCUCCCGGCUCAACUGGGAGAGGUCCUUGGAUACUGGCGGACUUGAGGGAUGCAGAGGAAAGUGGAAUUCCCGGUGUAGUGGUGAUAUGCGUAGAUAUCGGGAGGAACACCAGUGGCGAAGGCGACUACCUGGCCUGUUUCUUGACGCUGAGGCGCGAAAGCUAGGGGAGCAAACGGG
This 254-nucleotide ribosomal RNA is filed under the name uncultured bacterium. RNAcentral's name for it is "partial 16S ribosomal RNA". It matches the Rfam family "Bacterial small subunit ribosomal RNA", at positions 524 to 776 of the family's 1533-position model. The record is from RNAcentral.